Molecule: ribosomal RNA, 301 nt
Filed under: uncultured bacterium
Lineage: Bacteria
Description: partial 16S ribosomal RNA
Rfam family: Bacterial small subunit ribosomal RNA
Source: RNAcentral
CAGCCGCCGCGGUAAUACAGAGGGUGCAAGCGUUAAUCGGAAUUACUGGGCGUAAAGCGUGCGUAGGUGGUGGUUUAAGUCCGUUGUGAAAGCCCUGGGCUCAACCUGGGAAUUGCAGUGGAUACUGGGUCACUAGAGUGUGGUAGAGGAUAGUGGAAUUUCCGGUGUAGCAGUGAAAUGCGUAGAGAUCGGAAGGAACAUCUGUGGCGAAGGCGACUAUCUGGGCCAACACUGACACUGAGGCACGAAAGCGUGGGGAGCAAACAGGAUUAGAUACCCCUGUAGUCCCUGUCUCUUAUAA